AACGAACGCUGGCGGCAUGCCUACCCCUGCCAGUCGCACGAGACCUUCGGGUCUAGUGGCGCACGGGUGCGUAACGCGUGGGAACCUGCCCUUAGGUUCGGAAUAACUCCCCGAAAGGGGUGCUAAUACCGGAUAAUGUCUUCGGACCAAAGAUUUAUCGCCUUUGGAUGGGCCCGCGUUGGAUUAGCUAGUUGGUAGGGUAAAAGCCUACCAAGGCGACGAUCCAUAGCUGGUCUGAGAGGAUGAUCAGCCACACUGGGACUGAGACACGGCCCAGACUCCUACGGGAGGCAGCAGUGGGGAAUAUUGGACAAUGGGCGAAAGCCUGAUCCAGCAAUGCCGCGUGAGUGAUGAAGGCCUUAGGGUUGUAAAGCUCUUUUACCCGGGAUGAUAAUGACAGUACCGGGAGAAUAAGCUCCGGCUAACUCCGUG
RNAcentral lists this ribosomal RNA (432 nucleotides) under uncultured bacterium. Its description in RNAcentral is "partial 16S ribosomal RNA". It matches the Rfam family "Bacterial small subunit ribosomal RNA", at positions 29 to 507 of the family's 1533-position model. The record is from RNAcentral.